UUCGGAUGAUACCACAAAAUCAAGCAUAGUUCACUCUGAAUCAAAAUCAUGUCGAACUCAAACUAGAAAUUAGUCUUUCGCUCCUAUCUGAUCCUUA
This 97-nucleotide small nucleolar RNA is filed under the name Kwoniella heveanensis BCC8398. Its description in RNAcentral is "Small nucleolar RNA snR60/Z15/Z230/Z193/J17". It matches the Rfam family "Small nucleolar RNA snR60/Z15/Z230/Z193/J17". Rfam says of the family: The members of this family belong to the C/D class of snoRNAs which contain the C (UGAUGA) and D (CUGA) box motifs. The record is from Rfam by way of RNAcentral. Lineage: Eukaryota; Fungi; Basidiomycota; Tremellomycetes; Tremellales; Cryptococcaceae.